Molecule: non-coding RNA, 868 nt
Organism: Camellia sinensis
Lineage: Eukaryota; Viridiplantae; Streptophyta; Magnoliopsida; Ericales; Theaceae
Source: RefSeq, a predicted model, not a curated record
UGGGUUUGAAGUGAUAUGUUAGAGAGGUGAUGUGACUUAAAUAAGAUGAUGUGAUUUAAAUAGGAUAGUGACUUUUUGACUUUUUGGAUUUUUUAAGAGUUGCCAAACUUGGCCUAACUUUGGCUGUUCAACAAGGUUUCAUUACUGAGCUGAAAGUGUUUCCAUGCCUUUUAUUGUUCAUAAUCUGUUACAAAUCUUUAUAUUCUUCUGAUUGUGUCAUUUGGUCCAGAGUUAUACACAAUAUAUCCCAUUACCGAUCAGUGAUCUUGAUUCCUGGUUAAAGACACCGUCGAUAUAUGUUUUUGACUGCUCUGCUGCGGGAAUGAUUGUCAAUGCCUUCGUAGAGCUUCAGGAUUGAAGUGCUUCUACUUCUUCUGAAUCUUCCCCAAGGGAUUGCAUUCUGCUUGCAGCCUGUGAAGCACAUGAGACUCUUCCUCAGAGUGCAGAAUUUCCUGCUGAUGUGUUUACGUCAUGCCUCACCACUCCCAUCAAGAUGGCAUUGAGAUGACGAGACAUUUUAUUCAUUUAUUUGAUUUUCAUUACCAACUUUAAUUCUAUUUUCUUUUGUAAACUCUUUUGCUGGCCAGACUGCUAGCUUUGAGCCCCUAUGUUUCUUUCUUGUCUUCGGUAAUGCAUCUUUUAGGUCCAAGCAUCUUCAUGUUUGUUAACACCCUUUUGUCAAAAGAUCCUGAGUAUGUUUUGAGCUGAGUGUACGACAUAAUUUGGACUCUCAUUAAUUGGUUUGAAGGUAGAAUUAAGGAAAGGGCUUAUAUCGCUGUUAUGUUGUUGUUGAAUGAGCUCCUGUGUCAUUGUAAGCUUAUGUUUUUUCUACUAUUAGCAUAAAUGAUAAUUGUGGCUAUUGCCAGCA